RNAcentral lists this ribosomal RNA (373 nucleotides) under uncultured organism. RNAcentral describes it as "partial 16S ribosomal RNA". It matches the Rfam family "Bacterial small subunit ribosomal RNA", at positions 527 to 896 of the family's 1533-position model. The record is from RNAcentral.
GUAGGUGGCAAGCGUUGUCCGGAAUUAUUGGGCGUAAAGCGCGCGCAGGCGGUUCUUUAAGUCUGAUGUGAAAGCCCACGGCUCAACCGUGGAGGGUCAUUGGAAACUGGAGAACUUGAGUACAGAAGGGGAAAGCGGAAUUCCACGUGUAGCGGUGAAAUGCGUAGAGAUGUGGAGGAACACCAGUGGCGAAGGCGGCUUUCUGGUCUGUAACUGACGCUGAGGCGCGAAAGCGUGGGGAGCAAACAGGGAUUAGAUACCCUGGUAGUCCACGCCGUAAACGAUGAGUGCUAAGUGUUAGGGGGUUUCCGCCCCCUUAGUGCUGCAGCUAACGCAUUAAGCACUCCGCCUGGGGAGUACGGCCGCAAGGCUG